Molecule: long non-coding RNA, 105 nt
Organism: Hyaena hyaena (striped hyena)
Lineage: Eukaryota; Metazoa; Chordata; Mammalia; Carnivora; Hyaenidae
Exons: 3
Source: RefSeq, a predicted model, not a curated record
AGCAUGCUCUCGGCCACGCUCUUCUUGGUGGCAUAGUGGUUCAGGUUGAUGGGCUGGCUCCCCCUGGGGUUGGGGUUCCCAGGCUGCAGGUCGACUGAUUUCUCU